GCGGGAAAGCAAAAUGGUGUCUUUUGCGCUUUUUAGGAAAUAAUAUUAUGAUUAUCAUUGGUUCUUGUUUAUGCCCUGUUAUACUCAUAUUUUUAAGAGCAUAAGGAAACACGCGUUCCAAAUGUGGUGCUACCAUUGGCGUACAACAAACAACUAGACUCACAAUCACGAUCAAAAAUUGUCUGAAGCAAGACUCUGCCUUCGAGUCAACUAAGCAAAGUUUUUGUUCAGUUGUGUUUCGACCGCGCUUUGAAUACCACGCCACGCAAUGGUUCAGUGAAAAACUGUUCAAAUAAUAUCAUGUCCAAAGUUAACAAUGAUGGAGUGUCGUAUUUCAGUAGUGGUGUGGUGCGGGCAGAGAUCUGUGCCGGCGUUCACUACGUGAGUGCCGGUAGAGCAGUGUUAGCAC
Molecule: long non-coding RNA, 409 nt
Organism: Leptidea sinapis
Lineage: Eukaryota; Metazoa; Arthropoda; Insecta; Lepidoptera; Pieridae
Exons: 3
Source: RefSeq, a predicted model, not a curated record